Molecule: non-coding RNA, 425 nt
Organism: Myotis brandtii (Brandt's bat)
Lineage: Eukaryota; Metazoa; Chordata; Mammalia; Chiroptera; Vespertilionidae
Source: the annotation of a RefSeq genome assembly
AAGAGUCAAGAACAUUAUUUAGAUGAUACUGUAGAGAUGAACUCUUCUCUGGGCUUAGUGACUGUGGUACUCUUAGUGCUUGGACGAAUCCAUGGAGACUCGGUGACCCAGACAAAAGGCCAAGUGACUCUCUCAGAAGGGGCUCCCCUGACUGUGAAUUGCUCCUAUGAGACCAUACUGUUCCCUGCUCUUUUCUGGUAUGUUCAGUAUCCUGGAGAAGGUCCACAGCUCCUCCUGAAAGCCACAAGGGUCAACGAGAAUGGAAGCAGCAAAGGAUUUGUAGCCACAUACCAAAAACAACCAAAUGCCUUCCACUUGGAGAAAGCCUCAGUCCACCAGUCAGAUUCUGCAAUGUACUACUGUGCACUGCGUGACACAGUGACAGAAACUGCAGGGGGAGCUGAGCACAAACUCUGAACAAGGCG